This 484-nucleotide ribosomal RNA is filed under the name uncultured bacterium. RNAcentral describes it as "partial 16S ribosomal RNA". It matches the Rfam family "Bacterial small subunit ribosomal RNA", at positions 30 to 507 of the family's 1533-position model. The record is from RNAcentral.
AUUGAACGCUGGCGGCAGGCCUAAUACAUGCAAGUCGAGCGGACGAACGAGGAGCUCUCCUGGAUGCAGUGGCGGACGGGCGGGUAAGGCCCACGAAGCUGCCUGGUCGAGAGGGCUGAGGUCCGGUCAGGGAAGCUGAUCCCGCACCGGUUCAUAGUGUGAACGUGGUGGAUCUUAGGAGCACAAGCUUCCUGCUGAGACUAGGACGUAUUAGCUAGUUGGUGGGGUAAAGGGGUACCAAGGCGACGAUCCGUAACUGCUCUGAGAGGAUGAUCAGUCACACUGGAACUGAGACACGGUCCAGACUCCUACGGGAGGCAGCAGUGGGGAAUCUUGGACAAUGGGCGAAAGCCUGAUCGAGCAAUGCCGCGUGUGUGAUGAAGGUCUUCGGAUUGUAAAACUCUUUAAGUUGGGAGGAAGAGCAGUAAGAUAAUACCUUGAUGUCUUGACGUUACCAACAGAAUAAGCACCGGCUAACUACGUG